RNAcentral lists this ribosomal RNA (821 nucleotides) under Glomus sp. Att1485-12. Its description in RNAcentral is "eukaryotic LSU rRNA". It matches the Rfam family "Eukaryotic large subunit ribosomal RNA", at positions 1 to 668 of the family's 3401-position model. The record is from RNAcentral. Lineage: Eukaryota; Fungi; Glomeromycota; Glomeromycetes; Glomerales; Glomeraceae.
AUUUGACCUCAAAUCAGGUAGGAACACCCGCUGAACUUAAGCAUAUCAAUAAGCGGAGGAAAAGAAAAUAACAAUGAUUCCCCUAGUAACUGCGAGUGAAGAGGGACAAGCUCAAAUUUUAAAUCUAUCGGGUUUUACCUGAUCGAGUUGUAAUUUGAAGAAGCGUUUUCUGCGUUUUUGAUCAGCCCAAGUCCUAUUGAAUGAGGCAUCAUGGAGGGUGAUAAUCCCGUCCGGUUGAUCAUUUGCGUUUUACGAUACGCUCUCUAAGAGUCAAGUUGUUUGGGAUUGCAGCUUAAAAUGGGAGGUAAAUUUCUCCUAAGGCUAAAUAACGGCGAGAGACCGAUAGCGAACAAGUACCGUGAGGGAAAGAUGAAAAGAACUUUGAAAAGAGAGUUAAACAGUACGUGAAAUUGUUGAAAGGGAAACGAUUGAAGCCAGUCGUACCUUCGGGUAAUCAGCCUUUCGGGUGCGAUUCUGUGGAGUGUGAGGAGCUUAACACCUUCAUGCUUUGCAUAUUUGUGCUCUUGGGUGUACUUGCUCGUGUGGUUGGUUAACAUCAAUUUUGAUUAUCAUAAAAUGAUUGGAGGAAUGUAGCUUCGAUCUCGUAUUGAAGUGUUAUAGCCUUCGGUAGAUGUGAUGAUCGAGAUUGAGGAUUGCAACGGAUACCCUUCGGGGCUACCUGUCUGGUCUCUGAUCGUUGCUCUGGUGCCGAAAGCGUGCUUACGGUUAUCAAAGUCGAUGGUCAAUAGGUUAGAACGGGUUAAAUUCGUUAAGGAUGUUGACGUAAUGGCUUUAAACGACCCGUCUUGAAACACGGACCA